RNAcentral lists this transfer RNA (93 nucleotides) under Candidatus Bathyarchaeota archaeon RBG_16_48_13. RNAcentral describes it as "tRNA-Pro". It matches the Rfam family "tRNA". Rfam says of the family: Transfer RNA (tRNA) molecules are approximately 80 nucleotides in length. Their secondary structure includes four short double-helical elements and three loops (D, anti-codon, and T loops). Further hydrogen bonds mediate the characteristic L-shaped molecular structure. tRNAs have two regions of fundamental functional importance: the anti-codon, which is responsible for specific mRNA codon recognition, and the 3' end, to which the tRNAs corresponding amino acid is attached (by aminoacyl-tRNA synthetases). tRNAs cope with the degeneracy of the genetic code in two manners: having more than one tRNA (with a specific anti-codon) for a particular amino acid; and 'wobble' base-pairing, i.e. permitting non-standard base-pairing at the 3rd anti-codon position. RNAcentral also lists the same sequence under 1 other name. Lineage: Archaea; Thermoproteati; Candidatus Bathyarchaeota. The record is from RNAcentral.
GGGGCUGUCUGCUAGUCUGGUCUAGACAUUAUGGGAUUAGCUUCGUGGCUUGGGACCACGAGAUCGCCGGUUCAAAUCCGGCCGGCCCCACCA